AGUGAACGCUGGCGGUAGGCCUAACACAUGCGAGUCGAACGGCAGCACAGUAAGAGCUUGCUCUUACGGGUGGCGAGUGGCGGACGGGUGAGGAAUACAUCGGAAUCUACUUUUUCGUGGGGGAUAACGUAGGGAAACUUACGCUAAUACCGCAUACGACCUACGGGUGAAAGCAGGGGAUCUUCGGACCUUGCGCGAUUGAAUGAGCCGAUGUCGGAUUAGCUAGUUGGCGGGGUAAAGGCCCACCAAGGCGACGAUCCGUAGCUGGUCUGAGAGGAUGAUCAGCCACACUGGAACUGAGACACGGUCCAGACUCCUACGGGAGGCAGCAGUGGGGAAUAUUGGACAAUGGGCGCAAGCCUGAUCCAGCCAUACCGCGUGGGUGAAGAAGGCCUUCGGGUUGUAAAGCCCUUUUGUUGGGAAAGAAAAGCAGCAGGUUAAGACCCCGCUGUUCUGACGGUACCCAAAGAAUAAGCACCGGCUAACUUCGG
Molecule: ribosomal RNA, 491 nt
Filed under: uncultured bacterium
Lineage: Bacteria
Description: partial 16S ribosomal RNA
Rfam family: Bacterial small subunit ribosomal RNA
Source: RNAcentral